UACGUAGGGGGCGAGCGUUGUCCGGAUUUAUUGGGCGUAAAGAGCGCGUAGGCGGCCAGGUAGGUCCGACGUGAAAUCUCGAGGCUCAACCUCGAGCGGUCGUUGGAUACCGCCUGGCUAGAGUCCGGAAGAGGAGAGUGGAAUUCCUGGUGUAGCGGUGAAAUGCGCAGAUAUCAGGAAGAACACCCGUGGCGAAGGCGGCUCUCUGGGACGGUACUGACGCUGAGACGCGAAAGCGUGGGGAGCGAACAGG
Molecule: ribosomal RNA, 253 nt
Filed under: uncultured bacterium
Lineage: Bacteria
Description: partial 16S ribosomal RNA
Rfam family: Bacterial small subunit ribosomal RNA
Source: RNAcentral